Daktulosphaira vitifoliae (grape phylloxera) is the source of this 391-nucleotide long non-coding RNA. RefSeq lists it as uncharacterized. Lineage: Eukaryota; Metazoa; Arthropoda; Insecta; Hemiptera; Phylloxeridae. The transcript is spliced from 3 exons. The record is from RefSeq and is a predicted model, not a curated record.
ACGUCAUGUAUGUUCCUCCGAAUUGAGGAUCACUAAUUCUUGAGAAAAAUCCCAUUAUAGCGACAAACAUGUAGUACAUGAGUAACUAUAAAGUAAAAAGUAAGAGGUGGCUAGAUUACUCUUGAUAAUGCUCUUAAUGUGUUGAACAUCGACAAAUAAAUUGAAUAGAUAGAGGCGUAAUAAUUUUAAUAAAUUGAUAAAGUCAUAAAGUCCAUUGCGAAGAGAUAUCUUGGCCCUUAUCACUGACCCUGAAAAACGCUAUUUUAGAAUCAUACGAAUAUGAAUACUUAAUCUAACAAUAUUGUAUAAUUAAUUUUUUUUCUAUCGACAACUUGUGGCAAUGGAAAAUAUUGAUUAUUAAUCGCUCUAUUAAACGUGCUAAGUAACUAGA